AUACAGAGGGUGCGAGCGUUAAUCGGAAUUACUGGGCGUAAAGCGCGCGUAGGCGGCUUGGUCAGUCGGAUUGGAAAGCCCCGGGCUCAACCUGGGAAUGGCAUUCGAUACUGCCAGGCUAGAGUAUGGGAGAGGGAAGUGGAAUUUCCGGUGUAGCGGUGAAAUGCGUAGAUAUCGGAAAGAACACCAGUGGCGAAGGCGGCUUCCUGGCCCAAUACUGACGCUGAGGUGCGAAAGCGUGGGGAGCGAACAGGAUUAGAAACCCUGGUAGUCC
RNAcentral lists this ribosomal RNA (274 nucleotides) under uncultured bacterium. Its description in RNAcentral is "partial 16S ribosomal RNA". It matches the Rfam family "Bacterial small subunit ribosomal RNA", at positions 523 to 796 of the family's 1533-position model. The record is from RNAcentral.